ACGUAGGAAGAAAGCGUUAUGCGGAGUUACUUUGCGUAAAGGGCUUGCAGGCGGUUGGCUAAGUUCGUUGUUAAAGCGCCCAGGCUUAACCGGGCGAGGACCAUGAAGACUGGUCAGCUAGAGGACGGUAGAGGGGUGUGGAAUCCCGGGUGUAGUGGUGAAAUGUGUAGAGAUCCGGAGGAACACCAGAGGCGAAGGCGACACCCUGGGCCGUACCUGACGCUAAGACGCGACAGCACGGGGAGCGAACGG
RNAcentral lists this ribosomal RNA (252 nucleotides) under uncultured prokaryote. Its description in RNAcentral is "partial 16S ribosomal RNA". It matches the Rfam family "Bacterial small subunit ribosomal RNA", at positions 525 to 775 of the family's 1533-position model. The record is from RNAcentral.